Molecule: ribosomal RNA, 464 nt
Filed under: uncultured Klebsiella sp.
Lineage: Bacteria; Pseudomonadati; Pseudomonadota; Gammaproteobacteria; Enterobacterales; Enterobacteriaceae
Description: bacterial SSU rRNA
Rfam family: Bacterial small subunit ribosomal RNA
Source: RNAcentral
CCUCGGGUGGCUGCAGUGGGGAAUAUUGCACAAUGGGCGCAAGCCUGAUGCAGCCAUGCCGCGUGUGUGAAGAAGGCCUUCGGGUUGUAGAGCACUUUCAGCGGGGAGGAAGGCGUUAAGGUUAAUAACCUUGGCGAUUGACGUUACCCGCAGAAGAAGCACCGGCUAACUCCGUGCCAGCAGCCGCGGUAAUACGGAGGGUGCAAGCGUUAAUCGGAAUUACUGGGCGUAAAGCGCACGCAGGCGGUCUGUCAAGUCGGAUGUGAAAUCCCCGGGCUCAACCUGGGAACUGCAUUCGAAACUGGCAGGCUAGAGUCUUGUAGAGGGGGGUAGAAUUCCAGGUGUAGCGGUGAAAUGCGUAGAGACCUGGAGGAAUACCGGUGGCGAAGGCGGCCCCCUGGACAAAGACUGGCGCUCAGGUGCGAAAGCGUGGGGAGCAAACAGGAUUAGAUACCCCAGUAGUC